GGCCUCGUGGUGUAGUGGUUAACAUGCCUGCCUGUCACCCAGGAGAUCGCCGGGUCGACCCCGGGCGGGACCGCCA
Molecule: transfer RNA, 76 nt
Filed under: Bacillus thuringiensis serovar kurstaki str. HD-1
Lineage: Bacteria; Bacillati; Bacillota; Bacilli; Caryophanales; Bacillaceae
Description: tRNA-OTHER
Rfam family: tRNA
About the family: Transfer RNA (tRNA) molecules are approximately 80 nucleotides in length. Their secondary structure includes four short double-helical elements and three loops (D, anti-codon, and T loops).
Source: RNAcentral